This 265-nucleotide RNase MRP RNA is filed under the name Cervus hanglu yarkandensis (Yarkand deer). RNAcentral describes it as "RNase MRP (ENSCHYG00000019623.1)". It matches the Rfam family "RNase MRP". From Rfam's summary of the family: RNase MRP is an enzymatically active ribonucleoprotein with two distinct roles in eukaryotes. Lineage: Eukaryota; Metazoa; Chordata; Mammalia; Artiodactyla; Cervidae. The record is from RNAcentral.
GUUUGUGCUGAAGGCCUGUUUCCUAGGUGAUACACGGAGAACUAGCUCCUUGUUUGCACCUAGGGAAAUGUCCCCAGACCUCGGGCAAAGAGUGCCAUAUGUGCAUGCAUGUAGACUUUCCCUGCUUCUCAUGGUUAAGCCCUCCAAGAAGCUAUCCCGCCCCGUGCUGGGGGGAGCCAAGCGGACUGUGGCGAGGUAUCAUCCAUCAGCAGGCAGUGUGCCUCAGCGCACACCCAUCUCACAAGGCUCUUUCUCAGGACACAGC